CCAUCGUUGAAGCGAACGAGAGAGAAGGAGACGUGGAAGGAGGAGCCGUUGAAGCGAGCUUGCUGCCGUCACGUCCUGCCUAGCCACCGUCAUCGAAGCCUUACUGCCGUUGAUUGAGGAUGUUAUCAUGGAGCUCAAGGAUAACGCGUAGAAGUUAAGUGGAGUUGUCCUUCCAUUGCUGAAAUCAUGCUUCGAUUUCUGCCCUGUACUACCUGGAUCCAUUCACCAUUUUGCCCGCCUCUGUUCCAGUGGAGUUUGCUGUUCUUCAUGUUGCAGUUCCAAACCCCAUUUGAUUCUAGCUUUGGUUCUGUUUCGAGCUGCGUUGCCAUCUGGGUAGUCACCAACCACAGCUGCCGUUGCUGGAGCUCACCGGAGCUGCUGCUAUGCCGUUCCUUCUUUUAUUCUUAACUUCAAGUUGCUGGAGUUAAAGCUGCAAUUGAUUUUGGGGCUGAGGGAAAGGGUUUCUGGUGACAGAUUUAAUUUAUGGAUUCGACUUUUCGAGGUAGGGGCGUUUUCAUUAAACUUAUUUUUAUUCUUAAGAGUUGUUAUAAAUUGAUAUUUAAGCAAAUAAUUAUUUUUAGUGAUUAUGGAGUCUUACGAAUUGAACUGAAUUGCUUUGAAUGAAU
This is a non-coding RNA of Arachis ipaensis, 626 nucleotides long. NCBI's taxonomy places the organism in Eukaryota, Viridiplantae, Streptophyta, Magnoliopsida, Fabales, Fabaceae. The record is from RefSeq and is a predicted model, not a curated record.